GCAGGUGCUGGGAUUGUGUGGAUCCAGCAAACGUGUGUUUUGGAGCAGGGCAAGUCGAAGAGGAGGGGACAGCACAUCUGUCAAGGCAAUUACCAGCGCCAGAAAGGGAGCAAGCGGAUCAGGGGAUUGUGCUGAAGGUUACAGUGUUUAUCACCGUGGCAGAAUUUCACCGGGAUCCCAGGAGCGCUUUGCCUGGCACACGUAUCUCCGUACAGUGGCUCCCAUCAGGAAACUGGUUCAAACAGCUGCCAUGAAAUGUCCUGGACAUAUAGAGAGGUCACAACUUGCCUUUUUUUCUGGAAAAAAUAGAGGCCAGCAUUUGAAAAGUGCCAGUUUUCCAGAAUCUCACUGUGAAGGGCACAGAUCUCUCUCUGCCAGGUUACAAAAAGCAGUUCUCUGGAUUCCAGAAAUCAGCUCCCAGUUCCAGUUUUACCCAUAAACGUUUCCUUAGCCACCAGCAUCUUCAACAGGCUGUUGGCAUCAGUAAAGGCCCAAUUAAAAUAUCAGCAGUGCAUUGCAAUUUCCUGCCUUGUCCUUGCAGCAGAAACCAAUGAAGAUGAGGUCUGUGUGUUUCAUUUUAAACACACUAAAAGUUGUUCAUGUUUCCAGAUCUUUCAACAACUUGGACAUAAUGAAGGAGUGCUAAUUUGUUUACCCUAAGUAGUCCUAAAGAGGUAAUACCAUCAGUGCAGACGCUAGCAGUGCAGAGCAGAUGUAAACACUCUCCAGCCGAGAUCUUGAGAAUGGAAAGAAUUAUACUGGAUAAGCUUCAGUGGGAUCUUUACACAGAAACACCAAUUGAUUUCUUAAACAUUUUCCAUGCCAUGGUGAUGUCCAGCUGGCCCCAUCUCCCACCCAGACUGCCUCAGAGGAAUCCUUCCCUCCACGUUGCACUCUUGACCAAGCAGCUGCAGCACUGUAUGGCCUGCCACCAACUCGUGCAGUUUAAGGGCUCCACGUUGGUUUUGGUGAUCAUCACCUUGGAGCUGGAGAGGCAGACUCCUGGUUGGUUUGUUGUUACUGCUGAUCUGCUAAAAAAAGCACAGGUGAGCAGCACUGAAUUCAUGCACUGCCAAGAGCUUGUGGAUCUGGAGUUAAUGUGCUUGCAGGCACCCAAUGCUGUUAAUAUUUUCUAUCCCAUCAGCCAAGCUGUGCAGGGCCAUCCCAAGGCAAGGCUACCCUGCCAGCCCCUUCUGAAUGGCAGAGUUCCCAACAAGGGAGGCUGAGGGUUGCUGUAGCCAGCCUGUUUCAGCCCCUUAAUACAGCCCAAAUUCCUGAUCAAACCCCUGAGACUGAAGAAUGCUGAGAUGGAUUCACUCCUGCACAGUGAGGGUGGGGAGGUGAGUGCUGGGAGGAUGAACACAGGAGGAUCCUGCCCUCAGCUGAGCUGCUCCUGUCCUCCCUUACAGCCACCCAAAAAGGAUUUAUGGAGAAUUACUGCCUUGGAAGCAGCACCUGCAGAACCAGCAGGUCCCAGCAAACAGAACAGCCAGAACAACAGGGCAAAAGUGUCACUGUGCUUCUCAGAGGACAAAGACACUUGGUAUUUUCAGUCAGUUUUUUAUGUCCUCCCUAAGCAGUAUGUGCUACCCCUCACGUUUAAGAUUAUGUAAAGACAGAAAGCUGGGGAGAGGAGGGACUUGGUCACAGUCCUGCAGCCCAGGGUUCCAGUUGGCAGGCAGCUACAAACUUCAUGGAGAACCAAAUGCCUCAGAGUUUAUUUUUAAAAUAGCCAUGAUGAAGUUUGACAGAUCGAGCCUUUCAUCCAGCUCAUGCCAUUGUUCUCUCAUUAGAGCUGAUCUGGCUCAGCCCAUGGGAGCUGAACAGGAGCUGCUGCUGUCGAGGAAUGGGCAGCCCCCACUGCUGCCUUUGCAAGAGAUCUCAGAUGGAACCAAGGCUUUCAUUCAGCAGUGAGAAGCUUGAAUCAAACCUCCAGUUUUCCUUAAGGCCUUACCUUGUAAUCCAGGGGUCUGGGAUCUGUGCUUUUUCCUGGUUAAGCCAUUACAGACUCUGUCACAGUUCCUAUGAAAUGUGGGAAAUCACUUCUUGUCUACAAUCACCAUUGCCUUGAGCUCUCACCAACCAGCACAUGCUGGUCGGGGUUUUAAAAUUUAUUCUGUCUUACCGGAUUAGACAAAAUAAAAUGCCUUUAAUAAUUCCCCUCCACCACUACAACCACAUUAUUUCUUACAAAUUGCUUCAUCUUCAUACCAAAGUAGUUUCACAAAGGUCAGAAUAAACCACUCUUGCACUUUUAAAAACCAGCUUCACAAAUCCUUUUAAAAUUAGUGGAGGUUUUGUUUUAAACAAUAGGCAUUUUUAGGUGAUUGUUACCCUAGUUUGAGGGUAUAUUCCAGCCAGUAUGGGAUGGGUAACAGCACCACACCUGCCAUCCUGUCACAGA
Zonotrichia leucophrys gambelii is the source of this 2404-nucleotide long non-coding RNA. RefSeq lists it as uncharacterized. The transcript is spliced from 7 exons. The record is from RefSeq and is a predicted model, not a curated record. Lineage: Eukaryota; Metazoa; Chordata; Aves; Passeriformes; Passerellidae.